Molecule: non-coding RNA, 365 nt
Organism: Momordica charantia (bitter melon)
Lineage: Eukaryota; Viridiplantae; Streptophyta; Magnoliopsida; Cucurbitales; Cucurbitaceae
Source: RefSeq, a predicted model, not a curated record
AACAAGAACUCGAGAAGAACCAUUGAUUUGUAGGAUUGUUUCCAUUCCUUCCACUCAAUGCUAUGCAGCCUGAAGUUUGCAGCCAACAAAGGACAUCAACAAUUCUCCAAUAAUCAUCAACCUCAAAGGACGCCUCAGCUAUUGUUGUCAUUGUUUUAGCAUCAGGGCUGCCUGGAUCUUUGUUUGUUGCUUCCUCUGCCAACCUUGAGAACAGAGGCAAAAAAAGGACUAAUUUCAAAUUAUAUAUUAUUUUUACAACUACGGGUUUUUGAAUCACCCUGAUGCAUUUUGCAUCGAUGUUGAAAUAUUCAUGGGUGGGUGGUAGUCACUAUGGUUUGAAUUAAUGAUAGUUUUUGUCCCGUCGA